AGCGAACGCUGGCGGCAGGCCUAACACAUGCAAGUCGAACGAACCUUUCGGGGUUAGUGGCGGACGGGUGAGUAACACGUGGGAACGUGCCUUUAGGUUCGGAAUAACUCAGGGAAACUUGUGCUAAUACCGAAUGUGCCCUUCGGGGGAAAGAUUGAUCGCCUUUAGAGCGGCCCGCGUCUGAUUAGCUAGUUGGUUGAGGUAAUGGCUCACCAAGGCGACGAUCAGUAGCUGGUCUGAGAGGAUGAUCAGCCACAUUGGGACUGAGACACGGCCCAAACUCCUACGGGAGGCAGCAGUGGGGAAUCUUGCGCAAUGGGCGAAAGCCUGACGCAGCCAUGCCGCGUGAAUGAUGAAGGUCUUAGGAUUGUAAAAUUCUUUCACCGGGGACGAUAAUGACGGUACCCGGAGAAGAAGCCCCGGCUAACUUCGUG
Molecule: ribosomal RNA, 434 nt
Filed under: uncultured bacterium
Lineage: Bacteria
Description: partial 16S ribosomal RNA
Rfam family: Bacterial small subunit ribosomal RNA
Source: RNAcentral